UGCGCGCUACCUUAACCACACCUGACACCUCACCCCUUCCGACCUUCCCCCUUCUCUCGCGCCUCUUCCUCUGCUACGCGGAUCGCACCUUUGACGGCGGCGCAUCAAGUCCCCACGACUGCCUCUUCCUCUCCAACGUGGAUAGCAACCACGACGGCGAUACAUGAGCUUCCCCACGCUCGUCGCGGCCCUCUCGCGCGCAGGCUCCAGAGGCACGCACAGCGCCUGCGCCAGUGGCUGGAACGCUGGAUCCCUGUGGAACCACAACGGCCAGCGUAGUCCCGCCGCCACCGUCUAAGGAGCGCAACGGCCACGAAUCCAAUCCAGAUCCACAGGAAGAUUGUUCUGUCCUUUGAAGUUGUGCAAUAAAUUUCGAGAUCCAGGUUCUUCGUUAGAUUGACAUGUUGAUUUGGAGUUUAACAUGCAUCUAGGUCGGGCUCUUGGCAGGUGACUAUGAACUUGGAGAAUGAAGCUUCAUACAAGAGCGUGGUGAUGACCUCUAGCUUGGUAGUUCUGGUUUGAAGUUUAUUGGUCGAGGCCGACGUUUAUUGUUCCUGAAUGAAGGUCUACUUGGAUCCUAAGCAUCGUAUUGGCUAUAUUCACAACUGUGGUAGGUUGUCUAUCUCUUCUCCAAUUUUGAAAGCAUAUAAGUAUUACUUCUUAAUCAAAGAAAAUGAGCAUACAUGUGUUGUUUCUUGGACUUGAUUUUCUAUCUUGAGUUGGACAAUAAGAUGUUUUAUUUAAACUGUAAUUGUACAAUAAGAUGUUGAUUGUAAGUCCCGCCUAUUAAUUCAUAAUGAGGUCUCGAAUUUCUGUUUUGUCACUUGAUGGGUGAUGUACAACGCUUCUUGUAUGGGAUUGCAUGCAUGUCGGCAAGUGAGCAGGAAGUAUGCAACAAUUUCUUUGCGUCAGUCUCAUCUCAAUGAUGUUCGUAUUUUUAUUAUCAUAUGCAAGGUUGUCAGAAUCACGAUUUUGAAUCGGAUCGGAGCUCCGAUGGUAGGAUCGCAAAUCGUAGAAUCUUCACUAUCAGGAUCGUAUAAAUGUAGAUUCUAUGAACUAGAAUCGUAGAAUCAAAGGGGUUAGUUUGGACCGUAAAGUCGUAGAAUUGUAUAAAAGAAUCGCGAUUCUGGCAACCUUGAUUAUAUGCACAUUUUGUCUUUAUUUUCUCCAUUCUUUCUUUGCUGAACCAAAUAGUCUAAACAUAUUGUUGAACAUGCUUUGGUUGAAACAUCAAACAAGACUAUUCAUUACAAAGUUACGGAUGGACUCGAUUGAUAUGGAGGCUCAGAUGAGAACAUUAUUUCUAAGAAGGAUCAAAUUAUGAGUCAUAGUUUUUGUAUUAGCUUUUCCGUGCUUUCCUUUUGCUAAUACCCCGCUACUCAGGAUUUGAAGAGCAUGAUGAUUUGCAUGCAUCUUCCCAUUAGGUGUCGCAAGGUAUUAGUGAGGUUCCACAUCAAAGGUGCAGAGGAUAUUGUUAUAUCGUUUCACACUGAUAUCUCAUAAGAUUUCCACAUUACUUAUUUUGUAUUUGCCUUGCAAUUUUGCAAAUCUACCACAAGUAAGAAGAAAAAUCAGGUUACGGCAGCAAUGAUUCUCACAACCGUUAUUCAAUUGUGCAUUUCCUUAUUUUGCUCACACUUUUGCUACUCACGGUUUGAUGAGCAUGAUGGCUUGCAGGAUUCCUUUUAGGUGUUGCAAGAUAUUGAUGAUGUUUCACUUCCAUCGUUGCAGAACAUAUGGCUCCUUUGAGAUUGAUCUUCCAUUGUAAUUUAAAAACUAUGUGUUGGUUGGCACAACUUAUCUUUAUGGGCUAUGCCUUUAGAAACACUUGAUUCACUUUAUGAACCGGUGAUCAGUUAUCACUUUCUUUCUAAUACUUUGUUUCUUUCAUCAUAUAUAUGAUGUUACUAUUAGUUA
Triticum urartu is the source of this 1917-nucleotide non-coding RNA. NCBI's taxonomy places the organism in Eukaryota, Viridiplantae, Streptophyta, Magnoliopsida, Poales, Poaceae. The record is from RefSeq and is a predicted model, not a curated record.